GGCGCAAUAGCUCAGUGGUAGAGCACGUGCUUAGCAUGCACAAGGUCCUGGGUUCUACCCCCUGUACCUCCA
Molecule: transfer RNA, 72 nt
Filed under: Camelus ferus (Wild Bactrian camel)
Lineage: Eukaryota; Metazoa; Chordata; Mammalia; Artiodactyla; Camelidae
Rfam family: tRNA
About the family: Transfer RNA (tRNA) molecules are approximately 80 nucleotides in length. Their secondary structure includes four short double-helical elements and three loops (D, anti-codon, and T loops). Further hydrogen bonds mediate the characteristic L-shaped molecular structure. tRNAs have two regions of fundamental functional importance: the anti-codon, which is responsible for specific mRNA codon recognition, and the 3' end, to which the tRNAs corresponding amino acid is attached (by aminoacyl-tRNA synthetases). tRNAs cope with the degeneracy of the genetic code in two manners: having more than one tRNA (with a specific anti-codon) for a particular amino acid; and 'wobble' base-pairing, i.e. permitting non-standard base-pairing at the 3rd anti-codon position.
Source: Rfam by way of RNAcentral